Molecule: ribosomal RNA, 497 nt
Filed under: uncultured bacterium
Lineage: Bacteria
Description: partial 16S ribosomal RNA
Rfam family: Bacterial small subunit ribosomal RNA
Source: RNAcentral
GAUGAACGCUGGCGGCGUGCCUAAUACAUGCAAGUCGAGCGAACGGACGAGAAGCUUGCUUUUCUGAUGUUAGCGGCGGACGGGUGAGUAACACGUGGAUAACCUACCUAUAAGACUGGGAUAACUUCGGGAAACCGGAGCUAAUACCGGAUAAUAUUUUGAACCGCAUGGUUCAAAGGUGAAAGACGGUCUUGCUGUCACUUAUAGAUGGAUCCGCGCUGCAUUAGCUAGUUGGUAAGGUAACGGCUUACCAAGGCAACGAUGCAUAGCCGACCUGAGAGGGUGAUCGGCCACACUGGAACUGGGACACGGUCCAGACUCCUACGGGAGGCAGCAGUAGGGAAUCUUCCGCAAUGGGCGAAAGCCUGACGGAGCAACGCCGCGUGAGUGAUGAAGGUCUUCGGAUCGUAAAACUCUGUUAUUAGGGAAGAACAUAUGUGUAAGUAACUGUGCACAUCUUGACGGUACCUAAUCAGAAAGCCACGGCUAACUACGUG